This 265-nucleotide ribosomal RNA is filed under the name uncultured soil bacterium. RNAcentral's name for it is "partial 16S ribosomal RNA". It matches the Rfam family "Bacterial small subunit ribosomal RNA", at positions 26 to 301 of the family's 1533-position model. The record is from RNAcentral.
AGGAUAAACGCUGGCGGCGUGCCUAAAACAUGCAAGUCGAACGGGUGACUUCGGUCACCAGUGGCGAACGGCUGAGUAACGCGUGGGUGACCUCGCUCCGAGUGGGGAUAACUGCCCGAAAGGGUGGCUAAUACCGCAUGAGCUCGUGGGAUCGUUCCUACGAGCAAAGUCGCAAGACGCUCGGAGAUGGGCCCGCGUCCGAUUAGCUUUGGUUGGUGGGGUGACGGCCUACCAAGGCGACGAUCGGUAGCUGGUCUCAGAGGAU